Molecule: non-coding RNA, 290 nt
Organism: Mesitornis unicolor (brown roatelo)
Lineage: Eukaryota; Metazoa; Chordata; Aves; Mesitornithiformes; Mesitornithidae
Source: Rfam
AUGCAUGCUGGGCUAUAAUUUAUGAAACGGAGCCCAGGAAACAACCAAUCGCUUAGCUCCCCCUAACACAUCCAACUGGCUAUGAAAAGCUGGAAGUGCUGCAUAGAACAAUUAAGAGGAGCUAUCCCAUAUAUUAAUCUGCUUAUCUGGGAUUGCUUUCUGUGUGGAGAGAGGGAAGCAUAUUACAAGGAGAGGAAAAAAGGAAAAAGAAAGAAACAUCACAGCUUUGUUGUUAAAACAACAGAAAACAUUUCAAUCAACAGGUAAAGUAUCCACUUUAGUCAGAUUGC